UGAAUAUAAAAAAUAUUGGGUUCCUUUUGGAUUAAUAGGGAAACUGGUGUAAAUCCAGUACAGCCCCCGCUACUGUAAUUGGGACGAAAUCAACUUAUACCACUGAGAAUAUCUCGGGAAGGUGUUGAGAGUAGGAUGAUCAUAAGUCAGGAGACCUGCCUGAUGUUUUUGCUAACU
RNAcentral lists this non-coding RNA (177 nucleotides) under Schnuerera ultunensis. RNAcentral also lists the same sequence under 1 other name. The record is from RNAcentral. Lineage: Bacteria; Bacillati; Bacillota; Tissierellia; Tissierellales; Tepidimicrobiaceae.